Molecule: ribosomal RNA, 496 nt
Filed under: uncultured bacterium
Lineage: Bacteria
Description: partial 16S ribosomal RNA
Rfam family: Bacterial small subunit ribosomal RNA
Source: RNAcentral
GAUGAACGCUGGCGGCGUGCCUAAUACAUGCAAGUCGAGCGAACGGACGAGAAGCUUGCUUCUCUGAUGUUAGCGGCGGACGGGUGAGUAACACGUGGAUAACCUACCUAUAAGACUGGGAUAACUUCGGGAAACCGGAGCUAAUACCGGAUGAUAUUUUGAACCGCAUGGUUCAAAAGUGAAAGACGGUCUUGCUGUCACUUAUAGAUGGAUCCGCGCUGCAUUAGCUAGUUGGUAAGGUAACGGCUUACCAAGGCAACGAUGCAUAGCCGACCUGAGAGGGGGAUCGGCCACCCUGGAACUGAGACACGGUCCAAACCCCUACGGGAGGCAGCAGUAGGGAAUCUUCCGCAAGGGGCGAAAGCCUGACGGAGCAACGCCGCGGGAGUGAUGAAGGUCUUCGGAUCGUAAAACUCUGUUAUUAGGGAAGAAAAUAUGUGUAAGUAACUGUGCACAUCUUGACGGUACCAAAUCAGAAAGCCACGGCUAACUACGU